GUGAGGAAUAUUGGUCAAUGGACGAGAGUCUGAACCAGCCAAGUCGCGUGAAGGAAGACGGUUCUAUGAAUUGUAAACUUCUUUUGUGCAGGAAUAAAGUGGGUUACGUGUAACCUUUUGUAUGUACUGUACGAAUAAGGAUCGGCUAACUCCGUGCCAGCAGCCGCGGUAAUACGGAGGAUCCGAGCGUUAUCCGGAUUUAUUGGGUUUAAAGGGUGCGUAGGUGGAUUGAUAAGUCAGCGGUGAAAGUUUGCAGCUUAACUGUAAAAUUGCCGUUGAAACUGUCGGUCUUGAGUGAAAAUGAGGUAGGCGGAAUGUGUUGUGUAGCGGUGAAAUGCUUAGAUAUAACACAGAACUCCGAUUGCGAAUGCAGCUUACUGGGAUGCAACUGACACUGAUGCACGAAAGCGUGGGUAUCAAACAGGAUUAGAAACCCUAGUAGUCC
Molecule: ribosomal RNA, 445 nt
Filed under: uncultured bacterium
Lineage: Bacteria
Description: partial 16S ribosomal RNA
Rfam family: Bacterial small subunit ribosomal RNA
Source: RNAcentral